UACGGAGGGGGCUAGCGUUGUUCGGAAUUACUGGGCGUAAAGCGCGUGUAGGCGGCUCGGCAAGUCGGAUGUGAAAGCCCUGGGCUCAACCUAGGAAGUGCAUUCGAAACUGCAGAGCUUGAGUUCUGGAGAGGAAGGCGGAAUUCUCGGUGUAGAGGUGAAAUUCGUAGAUAUCGAGAGGAACACCUGUGGCGAAGGCGGCCUUCUGGACAGUGACUGACGCUGAGACGCGAAAGCGUGGGGAGCAAACAGG
RNAcentral lists this ribosomal RNA (253 nucleotides) under uncultured bacterium. RNAcentral describes it as "partial 16S ribosomal RNA". It matches the Rfam family "Bacterial small subunit ribosomal RNA", at positions 524 to 776 of the family's 1533-position model. The record is from RNAcentral.